CCUCAUUCCCCUAACCCUAGCCCAUUCUCCACGUCGCCGCCACCUCCCGUCCCCUGGCGUCGCCACCAUGCCCACUCGCCGUCGCUCCUUCCCCUCCUCCCCGCCCUCUCGCUGCUCAGCAAGAGGAGCACGGCAUGCCGCUGGCCCUCAUGCACCGCCUCCCUCCUCCUCUCCUCCUCCGCGUCGGGGCCGGCUAGGGUUCGCGCUCUCUCUCUCUCCCUCAGGUCUCUCUCCCGCCGCCGCCACGCUCCCUCUCUCCGGCCUGAGCCUCCAACUCUACUAUGUCCUGACCAGGAUGAUUUCAUCAAAGAGUGGAGCGGGGAGCCGGAGAGCGAGCCUCUCCUUUUAGUGCCGCUGUCGAUGUCGCUGUCGAGGGUUCUCGCGCGCGUGGCGGGGGUUCAUUCUAAUUCGGCCCUGCUCUGCUCUGGCGGCCGGGUUUAAUUCGGCGGCGGCGGUGGCAUCAGGUGGCGCUGAAGUAGGAGGUAGAUUGUGGUGGCGUUCAGGGACUCGCUCAAGGUGCUCGAGGUUGACAUCCAGCAUGCGAACACCCUGUUUGGAGCGUGUGUUGUUCACCAUGUCGUGAAUUCAUCUCUGGCGGUCUGCCACAGGCCUUCCGAGUGCUCGAGGGACUACGACAGGGCGUGCCUGCAGAUGCGCAUGUCCUACAGCCCCGCCAUGCGCAUCUUCCUCUUCCUCAUGAAGUGGACCAACUGCAGCCUCGCCGGCACGGUCGGCCUCCUCAGGAUACUCUUGUCCAUCUGUUUAUGUGGACGGCACCACCACAAUGUCCACCCAUGACAGGAAGGCCAGCAUCAGGGAGAUAAACGCUUUGUACAUAACUGAAAACAAUAGCAUGUAUCAAAUUUUCUAUUUCCCUGGUUUUCAAUUUGUUUCAUGCUUCCAUCUCUUUAGCUCAGUACCAUUACUAUCUUGAAGAUGAGUUUUUCUUAUCCAAUGGAAGAUGGAUUUAAGAUAGAAAUGUGCAUUUAACCAUUUAUCGUGUUUCUUACUUGAAAUGUUAUGCAUAAUACUUUUCUCUUGUCGUAAGACUUUUUUUUACUUCUUGCCAAUUGGUUUGGUGUUUUGUAGUCAUGCAUCAUCUUUUGGUGUUUUGUUUGUUUGGUGAUGUGGGUGAGUUGAUUUCUACCUGAUUUGUUCCUUGCCAUCCUGAUCUGUGUAGCGUUAAGCAUUUGAAUGGAGCACAUAUAGGCAUGCCCCAGUUCAUUUUAGAGUCACUUGGUUGUUUGAUGCGUUCGUGCUCGUCGGCGGGACGGUGCAAGGCGCAACUCCGACGCGGUUCCUCGCCGGUUGGACGGCAUUCAGGCGCAACCCCGGCGCGCACUGAGUACUGCCUUGGCUAUAACCUCCCUCG
Long non-coding RNA from Triticum aestivum (bread wheat), 1372 nucleotides. RefSeq lists it as uncharacterized. Lineage: Eukaryota; Viridiplantae; Streptophyta; Magnoliopsida; Poales; Poaceae. The record is from RefSeq and is a predicted model, not a curated record. The transcript is spliced from 4 exons.